Molecule: ribosomal RNA, 1137 nt
Filed under: Flavobacterium sp.
Lineage: Bacteria; Pseudomonadati; Bacteroidota; Flavobacteriia; Flavobacteriales; Flavobacteriaceae
Description: bacterial SSU rRNA
Rfam family: Bacterial small subunit ribosomal RNA
Source: RNAcentral
GGUAUAGUUCUUCGGAACUAGAGACCGGCGCACGGGUGCGUAACGCGUAUGCAAUCUACCUUUUACAGAGGGAUAGCCCAGAGAAAUUUGGAUUAAUACCUCAUAGCAUAGCAGUCUCGCAUGAGAUCACUAUUAAAGUCACAACGGUAAAAGAUGAGCAUGCGUCCCAUUAGCUAGUUGGUAAGGUAACGGCUUACCAAGGCUACGAUGGGUAGGGGUCCUGAGAGGGAGAUCCCCCACACUGGUACUGAGACACGGACCAGACUCCUACGGGAGGCAGCAGUGAGGAAUAUUGGACAAUGGGCGCAAGCCUGAUCCAGCCAUGCCGCGUGCAGGAUGACGGUCCUAUGGAUUGUAAACUGCUUUUAUACGAGAAGAAACACUCCAACGUGUUGGAGCUUGACGGUAUCGUAAGAAUAAGGAUCGGCUAACUCCGUGCCAGCAGCCGCGGUAAUACGGAGGAUCCAAGCGUUAUCCGGAAUCAUUGGGUUUAAAGGGUCCGUAGGCGGUUUAGUAAGUCAGUGGUGAAAGCCCAUCGCUCAACGGUGGAACGGCCAUUGAUACUGCUAAACUUGAAUUAUUAGGAAGUAACUAGAAUAUGUAGUGUAGCGGUGAAAUGCUUAGAGAUUACAUGGAAUACCAAUUGCGAAGGCAGGUUACUACUAAUGGAUUGACGCUGAUGGACGAAAGCGUGGGUAGCGAACAGGAUUAGAUACCCUGGUAGUCCACGCCGUAAACGAUGGAUACUAGCUGUUGGAAGCAAUUUCAGUGGCUAAGCGAAAGUGAUAAGUAUCCCACCUGGGGAGUACGUUCGCAAGAAUGAAACUCAAAGGAAUUGACGGGGGCCCGCACAAGCGGUGGAGCAUGUGGUUUAAUUCGAUGAUACGCGAGGAACCUUACCAAGGCUUAAAUGUAGAUUGACCGGUUUGGAAACAGAUCUUUCGCAAGACAAUUUACAAGGUGCUGCAUGGUUGUCGUCAGCUCGUGCCGUGAGGUGUCAGGUUAAGUCCUAUAACGAGCGCAACCCCUGUUGUUAGUUGCCAGCGAGUCAUGUCGGGAACUCUAACAAGACUGCCAGUGCAAACUGUGAGGAAGGUGGGGAUGACGUCAAAUCAUCACGGCCCUUACGCCUUGGGC